AUGACACAAAAGUUCACACCAACGAAUGGCUCAUCAACAAUCAAGCCUCGUCCUCGUCUUCAUCUUCCUCUUCCUCCGAUUCAUCAUCCAAAGAGGAUUCUUUCUCCUCCUCUUCAUUGUCGCGCGCGGUGUUGGCAAGAUCUUCAUUGGGCCUCCACCUACCAAGGCAUUCAACAGGAGAUCAGUAACCUAAAGGAGAUGCUGGAACUCCCCUUCUCCCUGGAGAUUAUCAUCCUUGCUGCUUGGGCAAUCUGGAUCACAAGAAAUGGAUUCAUAUUCAACAAAAUAACACCCAGCCUUUACAGAUGCCGAAAGACUUUCAAAGAAGAGCUGAAAUGGCUAGUCCACAGAGCAACCAGAGAAGAAUAUGCAAACUUGGAGCAAUGGUCACAUAACUUCAAAUAA
Molecule: ribosomal RNA, 405 nt
Filed under: Triticum aestivum (bread wheat)
Lineage: Eukaryota; Viridiplantae; Streptophyta; Magnoliopsida; Poales; Poaceae
Description: partial small subunit ribosomal RNA
Source: RNAcentral